Chiloscyllium plagiosum (whitespotted bambooshark) is the source of this 271-nucleotide non-coding RNA. Lineage: Eukaryota; Metazoa; Chordata; Chondrichthyes; Orectolobiformes; Hemiscylliidae. The record is from RefSeq and is a predicted model, not a curated record.
CUACUGUGCUUUUCCAGCACCACAGUUUGAAUUUUAACAUGACUCACACAGUUAUUUCACCUGCUCAGGAUCCACUUCAAUCUGAAUAAACUAAAACCAAGAAGCUCAGGGGAAUGUUUGCAAUGGGGUAAUGAAUAGUUGCCAGCAUGUGUCUAAUGCAACAUACAAACCUGUUCGUGCAGGAGACUUUAAGACCUCACCAAAUUAUUUGUUCAAUCUUGGGCUGCCACGUUACACUUGGCUGGUCACCAGCAAGUUCAGUGAAAUUGCC